This is a long non-coding RNA of Seriola aureovittata, 847 nucleotides long. RefSeq lists it as uncharacterized. The transcript is spliced from 4 exons. NCBI's taxonomy places the organism in Eukaryota, Metazoa, Chordata, Actinopteri, Carangiformes, Carangidae. The record is from RefSeq and is a predicted model, not a curated record.
AGUGCGCUAAAAGUGCUCAGAGUGACACUCUUACUUUAAAAACUGUUGUUGUUGUUCCCUCGAUGCAGUCCUGCUAGAGAUGAGGAGCUACCUGCUGGAUUUAACCCAAGUUAGAGCUUGAUGACAGUAAGUUGUAAGUUUGCGCUUGAUGCUGAGCACAGCAAGAGUCGAUGAAGGAGCUGGGACUUCACCUGUGGAUGCUUAGAACUGCGAACAUUUGGUAUCCAGGCUGGUUUUUGAAGAGAUCUUCUGUUGGAAGUUGAGCUGUCGUCUGUCCACCGUCUCAUCUGGUGUCAUCCAUCCACAUAUCCAUCUCAACUGCUGUCUCACCGUCCUCCCAGGAAGUCUCCAUCUCCGCUCAGCCAUCAGUCGUCACCUUGGACCAUCUUGUGGAACAUUCAGCAUAGACGAAGAUGAUUGAGAGUCAGGAGGAGCUGAAGAGGAGAUGAGGGCAUCAGUUCUGGUGAAGAACUGAACAGAAGGAGCAGCAGGUAUAAUGUGUCUGUGGAAAACAACCUGCAUCACUCCAGGCUGUUUGAAGCUGGCAAGAAAGGGACUGGUGAAAAAUAUUUCACGAUAUGGUAUCUAUGUCUGGUUUGGCAAUCUGUGGAUCACGAUAAAAAUCUAUUUACCUGUCUAGGUCAGACAGUCAUGAAGGUCAUUCUCCUCCUCAGUCCAUUUCCAGACAGGCCAGGAGGACAGUCAUUUUAUCCCCAUUAUGCUGAGCAUGCUCAAUGCAGGCUUUGGCUCCAUUUCUCCAGCUGCAGCACAGCAGCGAUGUGUGUUCAAGCUUAACUUGAAAAAUGUUAAUUUAUGCUCCUCUAAUAAACACUGUAUUAGCUGAAAA